UUCACGCUUUCUCUUUGCGGCGUCCUUCUGUCUUUCACGCGUUGGCCACUCCAACCCGCUCCCCUCUCACCUUAUCAGCUAUUCGUCUCAUCACGGUCACAUCGUGUUGCUGUCCUGGCCUGAUCGUGUGCGUCGUGCUACGCAGUUAGACACACAUCCACACCCGUGCCUUCCGAGUCCUCCCCACCCCCGCCUGCCACGUCCGUCUGCCCCUUGCCUGCAGCCCUCACCGUCACGUGGUACGCCCCAUACGCCGUUUCCGCCGAAACGCCUUCUCUGUAUCUUGACCAUACCCACACCCAUACCCAUACCUAUACACACCACACCCCCCGGGACGCUCCCCCACCCCUCCCCGCCAAGAUGGGCCUUAUGCUACCGAAGCCGAUCCUUAGCAAGGUCGUGGAUCGUGCAGGGAACUCUUUUGUAAACGCUGCCUGCGCCUCGCAGAACGGCUUUCGCAACUCCAUGGAGGAUGCGCACAUGCUAGUCGCUACCGACGACGCCGACGUGGCGUACUUUGGCAUCUUCGAUGGACAUAGUAACGCCGAGUGUAGCGCCUACGUGGCGAGGGAGCUGCCACAGCGGCUAAAGAAGCUGCCGGAGACGAUCACGGCGGAGAUGUUAGAGAAGGUAUGCAUAGAGGUGGAUGAGGCCUACAUGAAGGCCAACACCGAGGGCGGCACCACCGGCACCUUUUGCGUCAUCCGCAAGGACCUCACAGUGACCAUCGCUAACGUCGGCGACUCCCGCAUCCUCGUCUGCCGCGGCGGCAAACUGAUUUUCGCCACUGAGGACCACAAGCCGUACAUUCCGGGAGAGACGGAGCGCAUCGUUGCCUGCGGCGGCAGUGUAGUCAGCAACCGCGUCGACGGAGACCUUGCUGUAUCGCGCGCCUUCGGUGAUGCGUCUUUCAAGGUAAAGGGGACGAAGGACUACCGAAUGCAGAAGGUGAUUGCCGUGCCCGACGUGUCGGUGCUGCAAUGCGAGCCGAACGACUUUGUCAUUCUCGCCUGUGACGGCGUCUUCGAGGGCAACUUCUCCAACGAGGACGUUUGCCAGUUUGUGUGGGAGCAGCAGCAAAACUGCUGGGACGACUUGGCGGUUGUAGCGUGCCGCGUUUGCGAUGAGGCGAUCCGGUGCGGCAGCAAGGACAACAUCUCCUGCUUAGUGGUGCAGCUGGCCGAGGGCGCUUCCAAGGUAAAGUCGUUCGGCGCCACAUCCUUCGUCCCGGGGCCGCCAUUUCCGCGCAAUCAGCAGCCCUGCCGCGCCGCCUACGCGCAGAUGGCGGAGCUCGGCCACACCACGACGGCGGCAGCGCUACAGACGCGCUACCAGCUUCUGCAGGCGUUCUCCAAGAACAAGUUGAAUUCGCAGCCGCCUGUGAUGCGAACCGCCUUCGAGAUGAGCGACGAGGUGGAUGUGGAGACGGAAUGGUCCUUCUUCGGCAAGGGCCCCGCGCCAGGAAACGAGAAGAGCUUCUUUGAGGCGCUCGCCAAUACGGGCAACAGCUCGUAGCGGACAUGCCGCCGUCACCUUCCCACGGCGAUCCUCCUCCCUAUUGCCCCUAUGCGUCACUCCUUCCUGCCUCUCGCCUCUUAGCCCACGUUUGCGUGUUGUUAUAUUCUGGUGUUUGCAUGCUCGGAGCUCGUCUCGGCACCGUGCUACGGACUGCUUGUGCGGCGGACGGCGUAAUGCGCGGGCAAUCGCACCUUGUGCCUGGAAGAGGCGAUGAACCUGAGAGAGCAACAUGUACACACUUACAUACCUACGCACGCACGCCUAUACAGUCGGACAGAGAAAUGGAGGGAUUGGGGCUGGAGGGUGGUGGGUGGCGGUGGAAGCGGUGGCCCUGGAUGGCGGAAGAGAGGGGCACGCCAAGGAAGUCAACUGUACACACCUCAGCGCUCUGUCUGUCUGUCUGCCUCUUUCCUUUAUUUCUGUAUAUGUUUUUCUUCUUCGGGCUUGUAUGCAGUAUGUGUGCGCUGCCAAGCAGAUAGGGAAAUAGAGAGGGUGGCGAGGGGUGGUACCCAUGGAGUGGAGGAGGAGUGUAUUAGUGCUACUGGAGGGAUGCAAGAGGAGGAGGAGGGGCCGUAUGGGUAGUGGGACUAACGUGGCGAGUGAAGAGAUGCUAUGAGGUAGUGAUGGAUGAAAAGUGUCUCGUCCGUCAACCAUCGCUUGGGCGCGUCGACGCAAAGGCACCGCUGCGCUUUCUCCAUGCCGGAAUCGUUGCCGGCCGUGACUACUCCCCUCAAUAUCAAGCUCAAUAGCGUUGUUAGGGAGGAGGAGUGGGCGACCGAGAUGGAGCUGGGAAGCCGGUGAAGUAUACGCGAAGACACGGACGUCCACGUAUACACACCUCUCGAUGAUGGGCUGGAAAGCAGCGGCGGGGUCUUCUCUCAGCGGCUUGCGCCAGCACAACCGCAUGCGUGUGCGAUGACGUCGCUCUCCUCCUCGCUCCACGAUCGCCCCUCCUCUACCCGAGAACAACCUACAUCACAGACCCGCGUGCAUGCUCACGCUGCACACGUGCACUUGACUGCGGAGGCAUGAGCGCAUUGAUCUGGUCCUCCUCCGUCUUCCUUCACCGCGUGUUUGUAGCUCUCCACCCUUCUCUCUCCCUCGUUCCUAUCCCCCUUGCCGGUCUCUCGUGUCCGCGUGUAGGGCUAGGUGGGCGUUCACGGUCUUGUGAUGUUCCGUUUGCCUGUUCAUUUUUUUUUUCCGCGCUUGUCUUGGUUUCCUUCGCUUCUCAUCUUUCGGCUUGUAUUGGCUGUGCUGUCCUGUCUUGUACGAGCGGGCUGUGAAUCUGUAUGCGUGUGCGUGUUUGUACGCCUUCCUACCCCUUUCCCCUUUCCCGCUCCCUGUAUCUGUUCGUGUGCUUGUUGGCGCGUAUGUGCGUCUGCGCGUAAGGGCUGGGGUAGGAUGAGGGAGCAAGCAGGUAGUGGCACGUCUCGGAGGAGAGGAUGGGGAAGCGGCUGAUCAGACAUUGAGGCCCUGACUGCCACUGCGACCACUGCGCCUCAUCCUUUUCCUUGUUUUCUUGUGUGCAUUGGCACUGGCUGCGAUAGCCUCUUUUUCUUCUGUGUGGGAGAGGGGGUGGCGGGCGUGACGGAAAAACAACAGAGAAAGACCGAGUGAAGGAGAGGAGGGAGGCGCGCCUUGUCUGCCGCAGCGGUCGUGUGCCCCCCCCCUCUGAUGCCCCACUGAGACACCCCCUCCUUCCCCUCCCCCUCUCCCUCCAUCGCACACUCACUCCGGGUCUUUCUUUUGAUGCUCAUCUUUUUUUUUUGUUCGCGUGUGCCGCCUCCCUCUUGUCGUCCCCUUCGAGCGAAAGACCUGAGAGGCCGAAUAAAAAGCAAAAGGGGAUGGUGACGGUGGCUCUGUUUGCCCUGUUCUGCGUGGUGUGUAUGUGUACGUCUCUCCCCCACCUCUCUCUCUCUUUGAUGGUGUUCUUUCAUAUCUUUGCUUGCUCGAUGGCGUGCGUCGAGUGUGUGUGUGUGUGUGUGUGUGUGUGUCUGUGUGUGGCACGCUGAAGAGAGCAGCAGCAGAGAAGGAGAGCUUCGGAAGCAAACGUGGGGUGGGGCACCUGUGAGCCUGUGUGUGUAUGUGCCUGCGCGCUGAUUUUGAUCAUGCUGUCGUCGUCGCUGUUGUUGUUUACGCCUGUUCUUUUUCCUUUCUUUGGCCGGCUCGUUUUGUUCUCUCUCUGUGUGUGUGCGUGUGUGCCCGCUGUAGCUGCAUCCUCUUUGCUCUAUCUCUUCAUCUGUGCCUGUGUCACUAUCAACUCGAAGUAUCAAGAAGCUAUCCAGGGACGAACGCGAUGCAACGCCUUGAACUCCUCUCUUGUGCUGUGAAAAGGUGCACACACAUACACGCGCGCGAGAAAAGCGAAUACAGACUGCCACAGGACCCACCUCACCCCACCCCUCUCCGCCUCUCUCUCUAUCCUCCAUCUAUGCGCAUUCAAGCGCACAGUGCCGACUGGGCACUGGUUUAAGGACGCGUGCAGGCUCACCCAGCUAGUUGUGCAAUGUGCGCCAGUGCGGCUGCGUGAGCACGUGCACGUGUUUGUGUGUGUUCCGAUCGUGCUUCGCCCCAACCCCUGCCUGCCAUCGCUUUUCAUCUUGUUGCUUUCUUGUGUUCGACGCGCUUCAAUGAGUCCGCACACCACCGCGUUGCCGUGCCCAUAGUAGGGAAGACGAGAGGGCACACUACGAGAGCCACGACUGCUCCUGCGGUCUCUUGCGCUAUCACGAAUGACGUCCUUUUCUCUUGCUUCACCUCUCCGUGCCUCCUUUGCCGCGCCCCUCCCUUCUCGCCACGCACAG
Molecule: unclassified non-coding RNA, 4322 nt
Filed under: Leishmania donovani
Lineage: Eukaryota; Euglenozoa; Kinetoplastea; Trypanosomatida; Trypanosomatidae
Description: gene:LdHU3.30.0530(CDS-product:phosphatase_2C_put ative)
Source: RNAcentral